CCUCGGGAGGCAGCAGUGGGGAAUAUUGCACAAUUGGCGAAAGCCUGAUGCAGCCACGCUGCGUGAGCGAUGAAGGCCUUCGGGUCGUAUAGCCCUGUCCUCACAGAAGAUAAUGUCGGUACUUGAGGAGGAAGCCACGGCUAACUACGUGCCAGCAGCCGCGGUAAUACGUAGGGGGCUAGCGUUAUCCGGAAUUACUGGGCGUAAAGGGUGCGUAGGUGGUUUAUUAAGUUAGAGGUGAAAGGCUGCGGCUCAACCGUAGUAAGCCUUUGAAACUGGGAAACUUGAGUGCAGGAGAGGAGAGUGGAAUUCCUAGUGUAGCGGUGAAAUGCGUAGAUAUUAGGAGGAACACCAGUUGCGAAGGCGGCACUCUGGACUGUAACUGACACUGAAGCACGAAAGCGUGGGGAGCAAACAGGAUUAGAUACCCCAGUAGUC
Molecule: ribosomal RNA, 438 nt
Filed under: uncultured bacterium
Lineage: Bacteria
Description: partial 16S ribosomal RNA
Rfam family: Bacterial small subunit ribosomal RNA
Source: RNAcentral